GUCACUUUUCAGACUUUUGGGUAAGAUCAAGUGUAGUGUUCUUAUCAGUUUAGUAUCUGAUAUGGCCUCUAUUUGAGGACACAAUACUAACUGGAUUUUUGGAGCCAGGAGAUGGAACGGGAACUUGCUCCAUCUAGUCCAUGUAUGGUCCAAACAAUUUUU
RNAcentral lists this small nuclear RNA (162 nucleotides) under Propithecus coquereli (Coquerel's sifaka). RNAcentral's name for it is "U2 spliceosomal RNA (ENSPCOG00000004590.1)". It matches the Rfam family "U2 spliceosomal RNA". Rfam says of the family: U2 is a small nuclear RNA (snRNA) component of the spliceosome (involved in pre-mRNA splicing). Complementary binding between U2 snRNA (in an area lying towards the 5' end but 3' to hairpin I) and the branchpoint sequence (BPS) of the intron results the bulging out of an unpaired adenosine, on the BPS, which initiates a nucleophilic attack at the intronic 5' splice site, thus starting the first of two transesterification reactions that mediate splicing. The record is from Rfam by way of RNAcentral. Lineage: Eukaryota; Metazoa; Chordata; Mammalia; Primates; Indriidae.